Plectropomus leopardus (leopard coralgrouper) is the source of this 180-nucleotide non-coding RNA. The record is from RefSeq and is a predicted model, not a curated record. Lineage: Eukaryota; Metazoa; Chordata; Actinopteri; Perciformes; Serranidae.
GUGCUGACGAAGGGUCCGGGGCAGCUCAUGUUUGUUGGAAAUGUGUCUGUGGAGGAAGGCCUGCACGAUCUCACCUCCCCAGACCUCAGCAUCGCCUCCGAGUGGACGUACUGUGAGACGGACAUCGACCCGGGACACCGCAAAUACACGCAGCUUCAGGCCGCCAUCCGCUACCUGCUG